UUUUUUUGACUCCUAGGAGAUUUGGGCAUGUGGAGAAUAAUGGGACAGGAGAUGACGGUAAUGAAUUAAAACAGAAUGGAAUGGAAUGGAAAGCCUAGCGCAGGGCUUGGUUUGGAAGGAGACGGUCCAGUAUUAUAGCAGGAAAAAGGAAGACUCUCAUCUUUGCCUCGGUGACAAAGCUAUGUAUGACAUUACUCAAAAUCUCAAGGAUGCACCUCCAACAAAACAAUUCUUACAUGGAAUCCUAGAGUCUUUGGAACGUGGUUUGAACACCACCAGCUUUGAGAAGGAAGAGAAAAUCCAGAAGUCAGAAGUGGACCAUGUUGAUCAGGAUCCUACACCUUCCAGGCUUGAGAGCUCUCCAAAGACAGAUCAUACUUUUCUAAGCACUCCGUAUAUUGGACAUAAAGAAAUGCUGAAGGUAAUCAGAGAUUAAAUUAAGAUUAUUUUUAAAACUCACAGGCAAGCUUUCAACUAUAAACUUCAAAUUUGUGAGCUUUUACACUUUCUUGAGUGACUUCAAUUUGCAAAGUUGUUUAAUCUCAUUAUACACAUAAAA
RNAcentral lists this long non-coding RNA (559 nucleotides) under Homo sapiens (human). RNAcentral describes it as "HDAC2 and HS3ST5 antisense RNA 2". Lineage: Eukaryota; Metazoa; Chordata; Mammalia; Primates; Hominidae. The record is from RNAcentral.